AAGCUGCGUUUAAUAAACGCAGCUUAACAUUUUUAGAGCUGCGUUUGGGUAAACGCAGCUCCAGAUAUGUUCAAGCUGCGUUUUAGCAAACGCAGCUCUAGGCUUGCUAUAAAUUGGAAAAAACCCUAAAUUGAAAAACACAAUUGAACCCAUUUCAACCUGGCUCACUCUCAACCUAGCUCCUGAUCCCUAAUCUCGCUGUCGUGCUCUCAACCUCACGCCUCCCUCAUCAAUCGAAACAAAAAUAGGUCUGAAAUCACUGCCUGAUGAGAUGCGCGAUCUCUCGUCUUUACAAAUACUGGAGAUUAGGCGUUGUCCCGAGUUACAGAGAAGAUGCGAAAAGGAAAUCGGUCAGGAUUGGGACAAGAUCGCACAUAUCACUGAGGUUUAUAUAGUGGGUGAACCUAUGGAGUGGCAAUAUGCCCCGCCUGAAUACUUUUAGGAUUUUGGAUGGUGAAGUACGAAAGGAUGUCGUGAAGAUGUUGUACAAGAAGGCCUUACUAAGCUUUUGGCUGCCCAUUUUGUUGAACGCUGCCCAGACCCUGAACCACUUGUUCCUGAACCAGUUAAAGUAGAAACAACUUCCAAGAAACGAGGUGCUAAAUCUACUAAGGUAAUUGUUGACUCCUGUCAAAUUUACUUGGUGGUGAUUUUAUGUUUUACAGAGAUGGGUGACAGUUGAUUAUUCUUGCAUUGCAUGCACAUAUGCAUAUUCUAUCUUUAGAUCAACAGAGCACAUGCUACUGGGAUCUGAGUUGCAGUUAUACUCUGUGUGGACUGUGGAGUGAUAUUGGUAUUGCUAUGUGUAGAUAAAAAGAUUUUGAUUAAACUUAUUGCCCAUUUAAAAAAAGUCAAACCGUGUAAGUCUAAUAUAUUUUGCCUAUUGGCUAAAAUAGAUAGUGCAAUUGCACAAAGUUCAUAAGUUCAAAUUUUACAAAAGUUCUUUCAAUUUCUUCAAAUUUUUAUAUAGUAAAUUUGAAAAACACUUAUCAAUGGACAAUAUGAUAAUAAUCUAGUCAUAGAAAGUCUAAACGUAAUAUUAUAUAUAUAUAUAUAUAUAUAUUUUUUUUUUUUUCUUCUUUUUUUGAAAAACAUUUUAUAUAAUUUUCUUAUGCUUUUAAAAAUCAUAUCUAUGAUAACUAUGAUCAAACGAGGAAUGGGUAGACUAUUGAAUCUAUUGAUCACUUACUUCUACAUUGUCCAGUAGCUCAAGAGUUGUGGAAUAUGGUGUGUUCCCUGUUUGGUGUUCAUUGUGUCAUGCCUUGUAGUGUUGUGAAACUUAUAGCAAGUUGGUUGGGCAAGUUUAAUGGACUCAAAACUAAGAUGCUUUGGAGUAUGAUUUAUCAUUGUCUUAUGUGGGUCAUAUGGAGGUAAGAACGUACUUUUGAAGGGGAUUAAAGGUCAGUUCAUGAGUUGAAACUUGUCUUCUUUUAGACUUUGUUUGAAUGAGCAAAUGCUUCAGGUGUUGUUACUUUCACGUCUCUGCCUGGCAUGCUUGAUUUUUGUACUUCCAUUGCUGUUUAGUUUCCUUUUUUUUGUUGCCUUUUAGCACACUUCCUUUGUUUUUAUCCUUUUGUCCUUAUUUUAAUUUCAAUGAAGUUUAUUACUUAUCGAUAAAAAAGGAAGUAUACGGCUGAAACAAAAUAUUUCCAAAAUGCAAAGACUAGAGAGUCCAGAAUAGCAAAUUGUCAUGGUUCAUGUCCUUUGACAGGUAAUUUAUAUAGAUAGAUAGAUAGAUAGUGUAAUAUUGCACACUAAGAAUAUUGUUUUUGUAAUAAAUCAAUGGUCCAUGUCAUUUGCUUCAAGAUUGAGCAAUUAAUUUUAAUGAAUUUUAUUUUCUAAAAAAAAAAAGAAGCUUUUCUAAAAGCACCUAAAAAGUGUGCUUAA
Molecule: long non-coding RNA, 1887 nt
Organism: Quercus robur (English oak)
Lineage: Eukaryota; Viridiplantae; Streptophyta; Magnoliopsida; Fagales; Fagaceae
Exons: 4
Source: RefSeq, a predicted model, not a curated record